This 423-nucleotide ribosomal RNA is filed under the name uncultured prokaryote. RNAcentral describes it as "bacterial SSU rRNA". It matches the Rfam family "Bacterial small subunit ribosomal RNA", at positions 355 to 774 of the family's 1533-position model. The record is from RNAcentral.
UAAGGAAUAUUGGUCAAUGGACGCAAGUCUGAACCAGCCAUGCCGCGUGAAGGAAGACGGCCCUACGGGUUGUAAACUUCUUUUGUACGGGAAAAAAUCUCCGGUCGUGAAUCGGAGCUGAUUGUACCGUAAGAAUAAGCAUCGGCUAACUCCGUGCCAGCAGCCGCGGUAAUACGGAGGAUGCAAGCGUUCUCCGGAUUCCUUGGGUUUAAAGGGUGCGCAGGCGGAAUGAUAAGUCAGUGGUGAAAUCCUACGGCUCAACUGUAGAACUGCCAUUGAUACUGUCGUGCUUGAGUACAGUUGGAGUGGGCGGAAUGUGUCAUGUAGCGGUGAAAUGCUUAGAUAUGACACAGAACACCGAUCGCGAAGGCAGCUCACUAAAUUGUAACUGACGCUCAGGCACGAAAGCGUGGGGAUCAAACA